GAUGAACGCUGGCGGUGUGCCUAAUACAUGCAAGUCGAGCGGUAACACUUCGGGUGACGAGCGGCGGACGGCUGAGUAACGCGUAGGAAUGUACCCCAGAGUGAGGGAUAAGCACCAGAAAUGGUGUCUAAUACCGCAUAACCUCUUCGGAGAAAAGCUUCGGCGAUUUGGGAACAGCCCGCGUAGGAUUAGCUAGUUGGUGAGGUAAAGGCUCACCAAGGCGACGAUCCUUAGCUGGUCUGAGAGGAUGAUCAGCCACACUGGGACUGAGACACGGCCCAGACUCCUACGGGAGGCAGCAGUGGGGAAUAUUGGACAAUGGGCGAAAGCCUGAUCCAGCAAUGCCGCGUGAGUGAUGAAGGCCUUAGGGUUGUAAAGCUCUUUUACCCGGGAUGAUAAUGACAGUACCGGGAGAAUAAGCUCCGGCUAACUCCGUGCCAGCCGCCGCCGUAA
This 453-nucleotide ribosomal RNA is filed under the name uncultured bacterium. RNAcentral describes it as "partial 16S ribosomal RNA". It matches the Rfam family "Bacterial small subunit ribosomal RNA", at positions 28 to 523 of the family's 1533-position model. The record is from RNAcentral.